GACGAACGCUGGCGGCGUGCUUAACACAUGCAAGUCGAACGGAAAGGCCCCUUUGGGUAUACUCGAGUGGCAAACGUGUGAGUCACACGUGAAUAACCUGCCCUACACUUCGGGAUCACUUCAGGAAACUGGGUCUAAUACCGUAUAGAAAUCCUGUCUGCAUGGGGGGGGUGGAAAGGCUUUGUGGUGUGGGGAUGGCUUGCGGUCUAAUCGCUUUUUGGUUGGGGAAUGGGCUACCAAGGCGUUGACGGGUAGGCGGCCCGGGGGGGCGAACCGGCACCAUUGGGACGAGAAUACGGCCCGACCCCCUCGGGGAGCAGCAGGGGGGAAUAAUGGAAAAGGGGCGGAAGCCCGAUGCAGCAACGCCGGGGUGGGGAUGACGGCCUUUGGGUUGUAAACCGGCUUCAGCAGGGGAGAAGCUUGUGGUGACGGUACCUGCAGAAGAAGCACCGGCUAACUACGUG
RNAcentral lists this ribosomal RNA (464 nucleotides) under uncultured bacterium. Its description in RNAcentral is "partial 16S ribosomal RNA". It matches the Rfam family "Bacterial small subunit ribosomal RNA", at positions 28 to 507 of the family's 1533-position model. The record is from RNAcentral.